Molecule: ribosomal RNA, 463 nt
Filed under: uncultured bacterium
Lineage: Bacteria
Description: partial 16S ribosomal RNA
Rfam family: Bacterial small subunit ribosomal RNA
Source: RNAcentral
ACGAACGCUGGCGGCGUGCUUAACACAUGCAGUCGCACGGAAAGGCCCUGCUUGCAGGGUACUCGAGUGGCGAACGGGUGAGUAACACGUGGGUGAUCUGCCCUGCACUUCGGGAUAAGCCUGGGAAACUGGGUCUAAUACCGGAUAGGAGCCAUUUUUAGUGUGAUGGUUGGAAAGUUUUUUCGGUGUAGGAUGAGCUCGCGGCCUAUCAGCUUGUUGGUGGGGUAAUGGCCUACCAAGGCGGCGACGGGUAGCCGGCCUGAGAGGGUGGACGGCCACAUUGGGACUGAGAUACGGCCCAGACUCCUACGGGAGGCAGCAGUGGGGAAUAUUGCACAAUGGGCGCAAGCCUGAUGCAGCGACGCCGCGUGGGGGAUGACGGCCUUCGGGUUGUAAACUCCUUUCGCUAGGGACGAAGCUUUUUGUGACGGUACCUAGAUAAGAAGCACCGGCUAACUACGUG